CGUAGUUGAAUUUCUGGUGGGCGCGCCGGUCUUCUUUUGUUGUACUGGGCGCAGUCCGCCAUCCUUGUGGAGAGGGCUCGCAUUGAGUUGCGGGUCGGAUCUGCAUCAUUUACUGUGAAAAAAUUAGAGUGUUUAAAGCAGGCUGUCGCUUGAAUACAUUAGCAUGGAAUAAUAAGAUAGGACUUCGGUCUAUUUUGUUGGUUGCGAACCGAGGUAAUGA
RNAcentral lists this ribosomal RNA (220 nucleotides) under uncultured eukaryote. Its description in RNAcentral is "partial 18S ribosomal RNA". It matches the Rfam family "Eukaryotic small subunit ribosomal RNA", at positions 629 to 868 of the family's 1831-position model. The record is from RNAcentral.